CCUACGGGAGGCAGCAGUGGGGAAUAUUGCGCAAUGGGCGAAAGCCUGACGCAGCGACGCCGCGUGAGGGAUGAAGGUCUUCGGAUCGUAAACCUCUGUCAGCAGGGAAGAACGGUCACUGUGCUAAUCAGCAGUGAAUUGACGGUACCUGCAAAGGAAGCACCGGCUAACUCCGUGCCAGCAGCCGUGGUAAUACGGAGGGUGCGAGCGUUAAUCGGAAUUACGGGGCGUAAAGCGCUCGUAGGCGGGAUGUCAAGUCAAGGGUGAAACCCCCGCGCUCAACGUGGGAACUGCCGUUGAAACUGGCAACCUGGAGUGUGUGAGAGGAUGGUGGAAUUCCAGGUGUAGGGGUGAAAUCCGUAGAUAUCUGGAGGAACAUCAGUGGCGAAGGCGACUAUCUGGCACAUAACUGACGCUGAGGAGCGAAAGCGUGGGUAGCAAACAGGAUUAGAUACCCUAGUAGUC
Molecule: ribosomal RNA, 465 nt
Filed under: uncultured bacterium
Lineage: Bacteria
Description: partial 16S ribosomal RNA
Rfam family: Bacterial small subunit ribosomal RNA
Source: RNAcentral